RNAcentral lists this ribosomal RNA (458 nucleotides) under uncultured bacterium. Its description in RNAcentral is "bacterial SSU rRNA". It matches the Rfam family "Bacterial small subunit ribosomal RNA", at positions 340 to 789 of the family's 1533-position model. The record is from RNAcentral.
UACGGAAGGCAGCAGUGGGGAAUAUUGCACAAUGGGCGAAAGCCUGAUGCAGCUAUGCCGCGUGUAUGAAGAAGGCCUUAGGGUUGUAAAGUACUUUCAUCGGGGAGGAAAAACAAAACUAAUAAUUUUAUUUCUUGACGUUACCCGAAAAAGAAGCACCGGCUAACUCCGUGCCAGCAGCCGCGGUAAUACGGAGGGUGCUAGCGUUAAUCAGAAUUACUGGGCGUAAAGAGCACGUAGGUGGUUUUUUUAAGUCAGAUGUGAAAUCCCUGGGCUUAACCUAGGAACUGCAUUUUGAAACUGAAAUACUAGAGUAUCGUAGAGGGAGGUAGAAUUCUAGGUGUAGCGGUGAAAUGCGUAGAUAUCUGGAGGAUACCUGUGGCGAAAGCGGCCUCCUAAACGAAUACUGACACUGAGGUGCGAAAGCGUGGGGAGCAAACGAGGGAUUAGAUACCCGU